RNAcentral lists this ribosomal RNA (361 nucleotides) under Eleutherodactylus cundalli (Cundall's robber frog). Its description in RNAcentral is "partial 12S ribosomal RNA". It matches the Rfam family "Bacterial small subunit ribosomal RNA", at positions 871 to 1384 of the family's 1533-position model. Lineage: Eukaryota; Metazoa; Chordata; Amphibia; Anura; Eleutherodactylidae. The record is from RNAcentral.
GUCAGGGAAUUACAAGCAAAGCUUAAAACCCAAAGGACUUGACGGUGCCCCAUCUCCCCCUAGAGGAGCCUGUCUUAUAAUCGAUAAUCCCCGCUUAACCUCACCACAUCUAGCUUAUUCAGCCUGUAUACUUCCGUCGCAAGCCUACCACAUGAGCGAAACCUAGUUGGCCCAAUGUUUAUACAUAAAUAUGUUUACAUCAACAAUACGUCAGGUCAAAGUGCAGCAGACGAUGUGGGAUAAGAUUGGCUACACUUUUUAAUUUAAAAGAAACAGAAAAUAAAAUGAAACUUUGUCAAAAGGUGGAUCUAGCAGUAAAAAAAANAUAUCAAAUUUCUUUUAACUCGGCACUGGAGCGUGU